Molecule: long non-coding RNA, 599 nt
Filed under: Fukomys damarensis (Damara mole-rat)
Lineage: Eukaryota; Metazoa; Chordata; Mammalia; Rodentia; Bathyergidae
Description: lncRNA (ENSFDAG00000031707.1)
Source: RNAcentral
CCCAAAUCUUACUUCCCUCCAGGAAGAAUUUUAUUUAUUUUUUUGCUAAACCUCCCUACUUUUCAGCAAAAUGUAAAACAUAGCCAGCCUGGAUCCGCCAGCCCUCUGGCUCUACACUGGAAGAUAGGAAGAACAGAGCGAGGAGUUCUGAGCUUUGGUGUUGCUUUUUCUCUGAUCCUGGGCAAAGAACGUUCCUUCUUUAGACUUGAUGUCCUCAUCUGAGAGAUGAGUGGUCAGACUGCUUGACUUCCGCUCAGCUGAGACUCCAAGAGCAGAACCAAGAAACAGGCAGAUCUCUGCUUUCUGAAUGCUGGUAACAACCGUCAGACUUCAGGAAGCCGUGUGUGAAUCCAACACGGAAAAGCAAAAGGAAACCCGGUGCCUUAUGAGAAGGUUUGAAAGUGCUUCCCAUCCGGUCCCCAUGAGUUCUGCAGGAGAUGACGGAACAGAAAGUCAAGGAGACCUCUGUUCACGAAGCAGCUAGUGAAGGGAAGGAGGCGUGGAAGGGGGACUGUGUCUGUGUGAGCAGCUUCCCCCCGUGGGUGGCUGUUGUGCGUCACUCUUCUAGCCCGGCAGAGGUGGCAGCGUGGUGGAGCGGG